AUUGAACGCUGGCGGCAUGCCUUACACAUGCAAGUCGAACGGCAGCACGGGUGCUUGCACCUGGUGGCGAGUGGCGAACGGGUGAGUAAUACAUCGGAACAUGUCCUGUAGUGGGGGAUAGCCCGGCGAAAGCCGGAUUAAUACCGCAUACGAUCCACGGAUGAAAGCGGGGGACCUUCGGGCCUCGCGCUAUAGGGUUGGCCGAUGGCUGAUUAGCUAGUUGGUGGGGUAAAGGCCUACCAAGGCGACGAUCAGUAGCUGGUCUGAGAGGACGACCAGCCACACUGGGACUGAGACACGGCCCAGACUCCUACGGGAGGCAGCAGUGGGGAAUUUUGGACAAUGGGCGAAAGCCUGAUCCAGCAAUGCCGCGUGUGUGAAGAAGGCCUUCGGGUUGUAAAGCACUUGUCCGGAAAGAAAUCCUUGGCUCUAAUACAGUCGGGGGAUGACGGUACCGGAAGAAUAAGCACCGGCUAACUACGUG
RNAcentral lists this ribosomal RNA (484 nucleotides) under uncultured bacterium. RNAcentral describes it as "partial 16S ribosomal RNA". It matches the Rfam family "Bacterial small subunit ribosomal RNA", at positions 30 to 507 of the family's 1533-position model. The record is from RNAcentral.